CUCAGGUGGCAGAGAAGACAGAUACAGGAGACUGAAAUACAUCGUCAACUAGAAUUUAUGAAGUGCCUACUAUGUUCCAGGUGAGGCUCUGAAACCCAGGAAGAGGAAUGCACUUGCCCAUUUCCAGCUAAAAGGGACAGAGAAGAGAUCUGAAGUCAGGUGUUCCAGAUUUCAAGUCCAGCCCUCUACCUGCCUCUUCGUAAAUGGGCACAACUCACAAUCUCUCACGUAGGAUUUAUUUAUAAGAGAAACACGGUCAUCUAGCCCAGCCCCCCUCACUUUACAAAGAAGGAGAUCGAGGACCAUGGAGGGACCUGCCCAGAAACACACAGGAAUGAUAUUGAGUAGAGCGGAUGCCUGCUAGCUACAUAGCACUGUGAGAUAACACAAUCAGAUGCCAU
Molecule: non-coding RNA, 401 nt
Organism: Phascolarctos cinereus (koala)
Lineage: Eukaryota; Metazoa; Chordata; Mammalia; Diprotodontia; Phascolarctidae
Source: RefSeq, a predicted model, not a curated record